GUGUAUUAUGAAAGCAGAGAUGGUUAGCACCUUCCUUGACAAGGAUGGAAGAAGUCCUAGUGGCAUUGAAACUCAUGCAUGUUUAAGCAAUUGCCACCUACAUCAUGGCAUUUCUAACCAUGUUGUUCU
Molecule: small nuclear RNA, 129 nt
Organism: Polypterus senegalus (gray bichir)
Lineage: Eukaryota; Metazoa; Chordata; Cladistia; Polypteriformes; Polypteridae
Source: RefSeq, a predicted model, not a curated record